GCUGGGCAGGGUGGUGCAUGCCUGUAAUCCCAUUGGCUCAGGAGGCUAAGGCAGGAAAAUUGAGAGUUCAAAGCCAGCCUUAG
RNAcentral lists this small RNA (83 nucleotides) under Marmota monax (woodchuck). Lineage: Eukaryota; Metazoa; Chordata; Mammalia; Rodentia; Sciuridae. The record is from RNAcentral.